RNAcentral lists this ribosomal RNA (1688 nucleotides) under metagenome. Its description in RNAcentral is "bacterial LSU rRNA". It matches the Rfam family "Bacterial large subunit ribosomal RNA", at positions 1220 to 2925 of the family's 2925-position model. The record is from RNAcentral.
GAUGAUGGGUAGGGGAGCUUCGUAUGCAGGCUGAAGCAUGACCGUAAGGACAUGUGGACAGUAUACGAGUGAGAAUGUUGGCAUGAGUAGCGAGACGUGGGUGAGAAUCCCACGGGCCGUAAACCCAAGGUUUCCAGGGGAAGGUUCGUCCGCCCUGGGUUAGUCGGGACCUAAGCCGAGGCCGAAAGGCGUAGGUGAUGGACAACAGGUUGAUAUUCCUGUACCGCCAAUAAGCGUUUGAGAGAUGGAGUGACACAGUAGGAUAAGCUAACCGUACUGUUGGUUAUGUACGGCUAAGCAUUGAGGCAGUCUAAAUAGGCAAAUCCGUUUAGACAAUGCUAGGAUGUGAUGGGGAAGCCCUUCGGGGCGAAGUAGCUGAUUUCACACUGUCAAGAAAAGCUUCUAUCGAGUUUAAAGGCGCCCGUACCGUAAACCGACACAGGUGGGUGAGGAGAGUAUCCUAAGGCCAGCGAGAGAACUACUGUUAAGGAACUCGGCAAAAUGACCCCGUAACUUAGGGAGAAGGGGUGCCUGUCUACGACAGGCCGCAGAGAAUAGGCCCAAGCGACUGUUUACCAAAAACACAGGUUUCUGCUAAGUCGCAAGACGAUGUAUAGGAGCUGACGCCUGCCCGGUGCUGGAAGGUUAAGGGGAUCUGUUAGAGCAAUCGAAGCAGUGAACUUAAGCCCCAGUAAACGGCGGCCAUAACAAUAACGGUCCUAAGGUAGCGAAAUUCCUUGUCGGGUAAGUUCCGACCCGCACGAAAGGCGUAACGAUUUGGGCACUGUCUCAACAAUAGACUCGGUGAAAUUGUAAUCCCGGUGAAGAUGCCGGGUACCUGCGACAGGACGGAAAGACCCCAUGGAGCUUUACUGUAGCUUGACGUUGGGUCUUGGUACUACAUGUACAGGAUAGGUGGGAGACUAUGAAGCAUGGACGCCAGUCUGUGUGGAGUCAUCCUUGGGAUACCACCCUUGUAGUACUGGGAUCCUAACCAUAGGCCUUGAAUCAGGUCUUGGAACACCGUCAGGUGGGCAGUUUGACUGGGGCGGUCGCCUCCUAAAAAGUAACGGAGGCGCUCAAAGGUUUCCUCAGCACGGUCGGAAAUCGUGCGAAGAGUGUAAAGGCAAAAGGAAGCUUGAUUGCAAGACAUACAGGUCGAGCAAGGACGAAAGUCGGACUUAGUGAUCCGGUGGUACCGCAUGGAAGGGCAUCGCUCAACGGAUAAAAGCUACCCUGGGGGUAACAGGCUUAUCUCCCCCAAGAGUCCACAUCGACGGGGAGGUUUGGCACCUCGAUGUCGGCUCAUCACAUCCUGGGGCUGUAGUAGGUCCCAAGGGUUGGGCUGUUCGCCCAUUAAAGUGGUACGCGAGCUGGGUUCAGAACGUCGUGAGACAGUUCGGUCCCUAUCCGUCGCAGGCGUAGGAAAUUUGAGAAGACCUGUCCUUAGUACGAGAGGACCGGGAUGGACGUACCUCUGGUGUACCAGUUGUUCUGCCAAGGGCAUGGCUGGGUAGCUAUGUACGGAAUGGAUAAGCGCUGAAAGCAUCUAAGCGCGAAGCCAACUUCAAGAUAAGAUUUCCCACCGUAAGGGUAAGACCCCAGGAAGACUACCUGGUUGAUAGGUCGAAGGUGUAAGUGCAGUAAUGUAUUUAGCUUAUCGAUACUAAUAGGUCGAGGACUUGACC